RNAcentral lists this ribosomal RNA (402 nucleotides) under uncultured bacterium. Its description in RNAcentral is "bacterial SSU rRNA". It matches the Rfam family "Bacterial small subunit ribosomal RNA", at positions 355 to 774 of the family's 1533-position model. The record is from RNAcentral.
UGGGGAAUAUUGGACAAUGGGGGAAACCCUGAUCCAGCAAUGCCGCGUGAGUGAAGAAGGCCUUAGGGUUGUAAAGCUCUUUCGCCCGCGAAGAUAAUGACGGUAGCGGGAGAAGAAGCCCCGGCUAACUCCGUGCCAGCAGCCGCGGUAAUACGGAGGGGGCUAGCGUUGUUCGGAAUUACUGGGCGUAAAGCGUACGUAGGCGGAUGCGCAAGUUGGGGGUGAAAUCCCGGGGCUUAACCUCGGAAUUGCCCUCAAAACUGCACGCCUUGAGACCGAGAGAGGUAAGGGGAAUUCCUAGUGUAGAGGUGAAAUUCGUAGAUAUUAGGAAGAACACCAGUGGCGAAGGCGCCUUACUGGCUCGGUACUGACGCUGAGGUACGAAAGCGUGGGGAGCAAACA